AUUGAACGCUGGCGGAAUGCUUUACACAUGCAAGUCGAACGGGGUUUAAGAGCUUGCUCUUAAACAUAGUGGCGAACGGGUGAGUAAUAUAUCGGAACGUAUCCAAUAAUGGGGGAUAACUAGUCGAAAGAUUGGCUAAUACCGCAUACGUCCUACGGGAGAAAGCUGGGGAUCGUAAGACCUGGCGUUAAUGGAGCGGCCGAUAUCUGAUUAGCUAGUUGGUGGGGUAAAGGCUCUCCAAGGCGACGAUCAGUAGCUGGUCUGAGAGGACGACCAGCCACACUGGAACUGAGACACGGUCCAGACUCCUACGGGAGGCAGCAGAGGGGAAUUUUGGACAAUGGGCGAAAGCCUGAUCCAGCCAUUCCGCGUGAGUGAAGAAGGCCUUCGGGUUGUAAAGCUCUUUCGCAAGAGAAGAAAACUUACCUAAUAACACUAGGUGAGGUUGACGGUACCUUGAUAAGAAGCACCGGCUAACUACGUGCCAGCCGCCGCGGUAA
RNAcentral lists this ribosomal RNA (500 nucleotides) under uncultured bacterium. RNAcentral's name for it is "partial 16S ribosomal RNA". It matches the Rfam family "Bacterial small subunit ribosomal RNA", at positions 30 to 523 of the family's 1533-position model. The record is from RNAcentral.